GCAUCGGAUAGUGUUAUGUCCAAACAUAACAGGGUGAAACAUUAUUGUUGGCAAGAUGACAACUUUGUUGAGCAUGAUAUGACCCACUAUUGUUCUGACACCAGCUUGGGACAUAAUUUUGAUAUGUUCAAUUGAUAAUUUGUCUUUGUAUUCUGUGUUUUCUGGUCAGGUGUUCAGUGAGAAAAAAAUUGGAUGUUAUUGUCAAGAUGGGUUGUAAAACAAUUAUUAUGGGUUGUAAUACAAUGAAUAGGAUGGCUUGAAUGUGUCGAUCAUUACUUAAAAUGUGUCGACCUUAAGAACUAUAUUAUUGACACAAUGGCCUCACCGUCGACCACUACAUUCAUGGCAUGUCCAAAAAGGAGAGCUCAAUUGGAAAGGGCUCUUCUACUAAAAGAUGUCAUAUAUUUCAGAUCUUCCAGAGGUAUAUUUUGUUUUCGUGUUCGUCUUAAUACUAAGUAAAAUGAUAUGCUUCAUAACAAACUUCCACAACUUUAUUCAGGUCACAAAUUUUGAAGAGCGGGAUGAAAUUCCGUAUAAAAUAACUCCUGAUCACCAGACAAAGUUUCAGAAAUACAUAAGAGCAAGCAAAGAGGGUGAGAUCAUUUGACCUUUUACAAUUUAUUUAAUGAAAAUAAUGUGCAUUGCCUUAUUUGAUUGUCAUGCACUAUGCAGAGUUAGAGGGUAUUAGGGCAUCUCUAAUGGUUGGGCAAAUUUGAUGGUCCACGUAUACACAUUUGAUGAUAGUUUGAUGAAAAUUUUGCUUUGAAAAUGUGCUCCAUCUAAUGGUUCAUCAACUAAAGCGGCUAAUGGAUGACCGCUUCACUAAAGCGGGCCCCCAACACCCACUUCACUUAGUUAAAGCGGCUAAUGGAUGACCGCUUCACUAAAGCGGGCCCCCAACACCCGCUUCACUUAGUUAAUGGGGCUGUCCAAGUGCCACUUAGUUAAAGCGGGCUUUGAAGUGCCAAUUUAAGCGGCACUUCAUUAGCCGCUUUAAGUGAAGCGGUCUUCUCUUGCCCGCCUCACCCAGUAUCAAACCUUAAGCUUUUCAUCAAAAUUUCAUCAAAUUUGAUGAACUUUUGAUGAUUUUUGCUAAAAUAUCAAAUUUGAAAAACUUUUGAUGGUCCAUUAGAUGGAGUUUUUUUCACUUUUUCAUCAAAUUUGAAUUUGAUGAUAGAUUUGAAGAACCAUUAGAGAUGCCCUUAGUGACCUGAUAUCAUCUUUAAAAUUCCAUUAUAACGUUGAAAAUGUAUAGGCCAUUUGGGAGAUUGUGGUGGUAUGAAACCGUAU
RNAcentral lists this long non-coding RNA (1290 nucleotides) under Aquilegia coerulea. Its description in RNAcentral is "long non-coding RNA (ACOE_LNC001518)". The record is from RNAcentral. Lineage: Eukaryota; Viridiplantae; Streptophyta; Magnoliopsida; Ranunculales; Ranunculaceae.